This 806-nucleotide small RNA is filed under the name Pongo abelii (Sumatran orangutan). RNAcentral's name for it is "retained intron". The record is from RNAcentral. Lineage: Eukaryota; Metazoa; Chordata; Mammalia; Primates; Hominidae.
GCUUUGCUGGGAUCUUGCUUUUUAAAAAGCCAAGAGGGAUCACACAGAGUGGCGCCCACACGUCCCCAGCUCCCUCUUCCCAUCCUGUUGUCCUGUUUUCACCAUUCCCCGGACCUCAGACCGCUGCCUCCACGCAUCCCCCUGCAGGAGCCCUUUGCCACCUUCUUUCGUAAAGGUCCUUCCUCAGGCCACAGAUGGAGCGUGUGUUGAGCACCUCACGGCCAGGCACAAGGCUGGCCCUUCCUAGUGGAGGAAGUGGGAGCCUCGACUAGAGAGGGAGCCAAGAGGGACGAGCCGGGCAGGACCCCGUGAUCAGCACGGCCUCCCUGAAGGGGCAAUAGGGAAAUGAUCUGGUCUUUCUGGCCCUAGCUGGCAGCCAGGAGGCAGGAGCAGUGGGCGACAGUGCGGGCCCUGUGGUUCUGGGCCUUCUCGCUACAGGCAAAGGUGUGGGCCACGUGGCUGGCCUUUGUACUGGAAAGGAGGAGAAAGAAGGCGCGGCUGCAGCGGGCGCUGCAGGCCUACCAGGGGCAGCUCCUCCAGGAGGGUGCCACGCGGCUCCUGCGCUUUGCAGCCAGCAUGAAGGCCUCCCGGCAGCAGCUGCAGGCCCAGCAGCAGGUCCAGGUAGGCCCAGGGCCCCUUCCUGUGGGGAGCAGGCAGGGUGUGGCAUGAGCUGACCAGAGGCUGUGUUGUAGGCGGCUCACAGUCUCCAUCGUGCCGUCCGCCGCUGUGCUACGCUCUGGAAACAGAAAGUGCUGGGCCGGGGCGGGAAGCCUCAGCCCCUGGCAGCCAUCGCACCCAGCGGGAAA